This 468-nucleotide ribosomal RNA is filed under the name uncultured bacterium. RNAcentral describes it as "partial 16S ribosomal RNA". It matches the Rfam family "Bacterial small subunit ribosomal RNA", at positions 28 to 507 of the family's 1533-position model. The record is from RNAcentral.
GACGAACGCUGGCGGCGUGCUUAACACAUGCAAGUCGAACGGAAAGGCCCUGCUUUUGUGGGGUGCUCGAGUGGCGAACGGGUGAGUAACACGUGAGUAACCUGCCCUUGACUUUGGGAUAACUUCAGGAAACUGGGGCUAAUACCGGAUAGGAGCUCCUGCUGCAUGGUGGGGGUUGGAAAGUUUCGGCGGUUGGGGAUGGACUCGCGGCUUAUCAGCUUGUUGGUGGGGUAGUGGCUUACCAAGGCUUUGACGGGUAGCCGGCCUGAGAGGGUGACCGGCCACAUUGGGACUGAGAUACGGCCCAGACUCCUACGGGAGGCAGCAGUGGGGAAUAUUGCACAAUGAGCGGAAGCCUGAUGCAGCAACGCCGCGUGCGGGAUGACGGCCUUCGGGUUGUAAACCGCUGUCGCCUGUGACGAAGCGUGAGUGACGGUAAUGGGUAAAGAAGCACCGGCUAACUACGUG